This 217-nucleotide ribosomal RNA is filed under the name uncultured bacterium. Its description in RNAcentral is "partial 16S ribosomal RNA". It matches the Rfam family "Bacterial small subunit ribosomal RNA", at positions 1286 to 1500 of the family's 1533-position model. The record is from RNAcentral.
UCUCAGUUCGGAUUGUAGUCUGCAACUCGACUACAUGAAGCUGGAAUCGCUAGUAAUCGCGAAUCAGAAUGUCGCGGUGAAUACGUUCCCGGGUCUUGUACACACCGCCCGUCACGCCAUGGGAGUCAGUAACGCCCGAAGCCGGUGACCCAACCAAUUCAGGAGGGAGCCGUCGAAGGUGGGACCGAUAACUGGGGUGAAGUCGUAACAAGGUACC